AAAGCACAAAUAUAGUAAUUUUUCUGAAAGUAAUAACGUGUUAAUAUUUUUUGUUUGUCAUGACUGUGGAUUCGCAUGCGUAGCGCCGUUAUGACUAAGUCAAUAAAUUUUGUCUAGAUUACACAUUCGUUUGCAUAGUGUGAUUAUGACAUUUUAUUUUUUUUGAAAGCGAACGGGUAAAAUAUGAAAAUUAUAUAAAUCACAAUUUUUUCAAAAUUAAUUCAAGUCAAGUUUAAGUCAAUAAAGAGAUCGUGCUAGAAUCAUAGGACUCGGGGAAUGCCUUAUACCUUCUCCCCGAUCAAUAGAAUUUCUUACCCCAACUAUAUUUUCACGGACCGACAAAAUAGAGCCAAACCUUUCUUCGACUCGGGAUUCAAAUAAAUGGUGACUUGGAACGCCGAAAAAAUCAAUUCCAAGUGGCGACUCUGAACAAUAAAAUAAUUCCUACUCAAAUUUGUCACUUUAAUUGGA
RNAcentral lists this long non-coding RNA (471 nucleotides) under Nicotiana benthamiana. Its description in RNAcentral is "long non-coding RNA (NBEN_LNC040016)". Lineage: Eukaryota; Viridiplantae; Streptophyta; Magnoliopsida; Solanales; Solanaceae. The record is from RNAcentral.